AGCGAACGCUGGCGGCAGGCUUAACACAUGCAAGUCGAACGGAUCCUUCGGGAUUAGUGGCGGGCGGGUGAGUAACACGUGGGAACGUGCCUUUUGGUUCGGAACAACACAGGGGAACUUGUGCUAAUACCGGAUGUGCCCUUCGGGGAAGAUUUAUCGCCAUUAGAGCGGCCCGCGUCUGAUUAGCUAGUUGGUGAGGUAAAGGCUCACCAAGGCUACGAUCAGUAGCUGGUCNGAGAGGAUGAUCAGCCACACUGGGACUGAGACACGGCCCAGACUCCUACGGGAGGCAGCAGUGGGGAAUCUUGCGCAAUGGGGGAAACCCUGACGCAGCCAUGCCGCGUGAAUGAUGAAGGUCUUAGGAUUGUAAAAUUCUUUCAGCGGGGACGAUAAUGACGGUACCGCAGAAGAAGCUCCGGCUAACUUCGUGCCAGCAGCCGCGGUAAU
RNAcentral lists this ribosomal RNA (447 nucleotides) under uncultured bacterium. RNAcentral's name for it is "bacterial SSU rRNA". It matches the Rfam family "Bacterial small subunit ribosomal RNA", at positions 29 to 524 of the family's 1533-position model. The record is from RNAcentral.